RNAcentral lists this transfer RNA (84 nucleotides) under Hippeastrum papilio. RNAcentral describes it as "tRNA-Tyr". Lineage: Eukaryota; Viridiplantae; Streptophyta; Magnoliopsida; Asparagales; Amaryllidaceae. RNAcentral also lists the same sequence under 13 other names. The record is from RNAcentral.
AAGCCUAGAAUGAAUUCUUCCCGGGUCGAUGCCCGAGCGGUUAAUGGGGACGGACUGUAAAUUCGUUGGCGACAUGUCUACGCU